CUCAAACAUUUUGUGCAGAGGCAGCCUCAGGUGGUCAUCAAGGUCAUCUUGAGAGUUUCUCUACUGUAGCAUGAAAUUUUCAUGAAAAUGAAAAAUGAAGAAAGCUGCAUCACUUCUACACCCGUCAGGCUUUUCUGAUGGUCUCUCAUUUGCUGUCUUUCAUGGAAGCCACUGUCAAUGACCAAAGGUACAGAACAGUUCACCACCACUCUGAACAGUUAACGAACAACUGUGCUCUGUCACAGCUCCUCUGAUGAAUACAGUUACUCAU
Molecule: long non-coding RNA, 271 nt
Organism: Pygocentrus nattereri (red-bellied piranha)
Lineage: Eukaryota; Metazoa; Chordata; Actinopteri; Characiformes; Serrasalmidae
Exons: 3
Source: RefSeq, a predicted model, not a curated record